CCUACGGGCGGCAGCAGUGGGGAAUAUUGGACAAUGGGGGCAACCCUGAUCCAGCCAUGCCGCGUGUGUGAAGAAGGCCCUCGGGUUGUAAAGCACUUUCAGUGAGGAAGAACGCCUGGUGGUUAAUACCCAUCAGGAAAGACAUCACUCACAGAAGAAGCACCGGCUAACUCCGUGCCAGCAGCCGCGGUAAUACGGAGGGUGCGAGCGUUAAUCGGAAUUACUGGGCGUAAAGCGCGCGUAGGUGGCUUGAUAAGCCGGUUGUGAAAGCCCCGGGCUCAACCUGGGAACGGCAUCCGGAACUGUCAAGCUAGAGUGCAGGAGAGGAAGGUAGAAUUCCCGGUGUAGCGGUGAAAUGCGUAGAGAUCGGGAGGAAUACCAGUGGCGAAGGCGGCCUUCUGGACUGACACUGACACUGAGGUGCGAAAGCGUGGGUAGCAAACAGGAUUAGAUACCCGGUAGUC
Molecule: ribosomal RNA, 464 nt
Filed under: Vreelandella stevensii
Lineage: Bacteria; Pseudomonadati; Pseudomonadota; Gammaproteobacteria; Oceanospirillales; Halomonadaceae
Description: partial 16S ribosomal RNA
Rfam family: Bacterial small subunit ribosomal RNA
Source: RNAcentral